RNAcentral lists this ribosomal RNA (253 nucleotides) under uncultured bacterium. RNAcentral describes it as "partial 16S ribosomal RNA". It matches the Rfam family "Bacterial small subunit ribosomal RNA", at positions 524 to 776 of the family's 1533-position model. The record is from RNAcentral.
UACGUAGGGUGCGAGCGUUAAUCGGAAUUACUGGGCGUAAAGCGUGCGCAGGCGGUUUUUUAAGUCAGAUGUGAAACCCCCGGGCUCAACCUGGGAACUGCAUUUGAAACUGGAAGACUAGAGUAUAGCAGAGGGGGGUAGAAUUCCACGUGUAGCAGUGAAAUGCGUAGAUAUGUGGAGGAAUACCAAUGGCGAAGGCAGCCCCCUGGGUUAAUACUGACGCUCAUGCACGAAAGCGUGGGGAGCAAACAGG